UGUUAACAAAUGGAAUAUUAAUCUUUUACAGAACAAAGUUUCACACCGGCAACCGAUGUUUCCAGUCCCACGAGCAACGAGGCGUGUAAGACGCCGCAGGACAGACGAAGAAGCGACCUGCGUCUCGGGCACUUCUCCUGCAGGUUGACCAGAGAGCUGGCGGCUCACAGCCUGCCGGUGCUCACCGGCGUGGGGAAGCUGCAGCUCGCGCCCUGGAGACGACGCUCUUCACUCUGACGUGGAUCGAGAAGCAGCCAUGUUGGUUUUAUCUGAGAGUUACCAGCUUUUAUUCAGAGGGUCCCGAUCCCUUAAGUUGUAUUUUGAAUAUUUUACGUUUUAAUUUGUUUAUGUAUCCGUCUAUUUAUUUCCCAACAGAACCUUUUUGUAUGGUUAAAGAUUUCAAAUAUUUUUACAUAAAGAAGUGAAUAAAUAUUUAAACAUUU
Long non-coding RNA from Platichthys flesus (European flounder), 443 nucleotides. RefSeq lists it as uncharacterized. Lineage: Eukaryota; Metazoa; Chordata; Actinopteri; Pleuronectiformes; Pleuronectidae. The record is from RefSeq and is a predicted model, not a curated record. The transcript is spliced from 2 exons.